GACGAACGCUGGCGGCGUGCCUAAUACAUGCAAGUCGAGCGGAAUGAUGAAGAAGCUUGCUUCUUCUGAUUUUAGCGGCGGACGGGUGAGUAACACGUGGGCAACCUACCUUGUAGAUUGGGAUAACUCCGGGAAACCGGGGCUAAUACCGAAUAAUCCAUUUUGCUUCAUGGCGAGAUGUUGAAAGACGGUUUCGGCUGUCACUACAAGAUGGGCCCGCGGCGCAUUAGCUAGUUGGUAGGGUAAUGGCCUACCAAGGCGACGAUGCGUAGCCGACCUGAGAGGGUGAUCGGCCACACUGGGACUGAGACACGGCCCAGACUCCUACGGGAGGCAGCAGUAGGGAAUCUUCCACAAUGGACGAAAGCCUGAUGGAGCAACGCCGCGUGAGUGAAGAAGGUUUUCGGAUCGUAAAACUCUGUUGUAAGGGAAGAACACGUACGAGAGUAACUGCUCGUACCUUGACGGUACCUUAUUAGAAAGCCACGGCUAACUACGUG
This 500-nucleotide ribosomal RNA is filed under the name uncultured bacterium. RNAcentral's name for it is "bacterial SSU rRNA". It matches the Rfam family "Bacterial small subunit ribosomal RNA", at positions 28 to 507 of the family's 1533-position model. The record is from RNAcentral.